UUGACCUCAAAUCAGGUAUGNCUACCCGNUGAACUUAAGCAUAUCAAUAAGCGGAGGAAAAGAAACUANCCAGGAUUCCCCUAGUAANUGCGAGUGAAGCGGGAAGAGAUCAAAUCUACAAUCUGAUGGUCCUCGUGGCUGUCCGAGUUGUAGUUUAGAGAAGUGCUAUCUGCGUCGGCCCGGGUACAAGUUUCUUUGAAUAGAACAUCAUGGAGGGUGAUAAUCCCGUGUGUGACACGGACUCCCGGGGCUCAGAGGAUGCGCUCUCGAUGAGUCGAGUUGUUGGGGAAUGCAGCUGUAAAUGGGUGGUAAAUUCCAUCUAAAGAUAAAUAUUGGCGAGAGACCGAUAGCGUACAAGUACCGUGAGGGAAAGACGAAAAGAACUUUGGAAAGAGAGUUAAACAGUACGUGAAAUUGCUAAAAGGGAAACGCUUGAAGUCAGUCGCGUCGGUUGGGGAUCAGCCUCGCUUUUUUGCAAGGUGCACUUCCGGACUGUCCGGGUCAGCAUCGGUUUUGACCGCUGGAUAAAGGCUGAGGGAAUGUGGCANCCUUGGAUGGUUAUAACCCUUGGUUCGGAUGCAGCGGUCGGGACGGAGGAACUCAGCACGCCUUCAUGGUCGGGGCUUCGAGCUCACG
Molecule: ribosomal RNA, 636 nt
Filed under: Mucronella bresadolae
Lineage: Eukaryota; Fungi; Basidiomycota; Agaricomycetes; Agaricales
Description: eukaryotic LSU rRNA
Rfam family: Eukaryotic large subunit ribosomal RNA
Source: RNAcentral